GGUGGUUCUCAGGUGACACACCCCAGAAUCGAACUUCCUCCUCUCUGGUUCUGGGUGUGUCACCCAAGAACCGCA
Non-coding RNA from Myotis lucifugus (little brown bat), 75 nucleotides. Lineage: Eukaryota; Metazoa; Chordata; Mammalia; Chiroptera; Vespertilionidae. The record is from Rfam.